UGAUGAAAGAAUUGUAAAUAGGUUAAUCAUUAGGUAUUAGAAACCACUUUUUUCCCAGCUCAAAAUGAAAAACAAGAAAAAUUUGCUCUGAUACCUACCAAUUCUCUUUAAACAGAAGGAUUGGAAGGGAUAUUUAGAAGAGCUGUGGUAAUUGUGAUCGAAAGUAUAUUGGGCAGAUUAAGAGAUCCGUUAUUGUCUGUUUUAAAGAGCACAUAGCCCAUUUGAAAUGUGGACGGACCGGAAAGUUCGGUAUUGCCGAUCACGCUGCCAGUCACAAUCAUAACAUGAAUAUUAAUGAGGUAAAAUUGUUAACAGUAUCUUAAAUAGGAACAAAGGGCCAAUUCCUUACAGCCCACUCUAUAGUUCAGUAGUCGAGGAAUGAAUGUGAAGAUUCCCGCCAAGAAGUUUUUCCCGCUAGAAUUAAUAUUUAUUUAAUUAUUUAAUUAAUAUAAGGUUUAUUGGUGGGAGCUUCCAGUAUAAAACAGGUAAUUCAAGUUAUUAGAUUUUACUGGUUAUCAAACCGCGCGUCAGACAGUGUAAUUGUGAUUGUUGAUGUAGUGGUAGUUUAAACAGUGUGUCCAUUGUUUACUGUCCUCGAUGUAUAACUUGGCAUUUGCUUAUGAAGUAGGGGUAAAUGGGGCAAUACGGAUCAGCGAGUAAUACCUAUCAAGGCGAAUCCAGACGAACUAUUGAUCUACUGUACGCCUGGCGGAGGUUGUUGGAAGCUCAUAUAUAUUGUUGCGCCAGUCUGCCUUGUGUCGUUGGCGAGUUAAGGCCAUUUCGAUCCGAGCGAAUUUAUUCUAAGAGAGCGAAGAAAAUGUAGAGGACGACGAUGUAAUUUGGAGGGACGAGAUUACUUCUCAUGAAGAGGGAGACAAAUAAUUAAUUAUUGGAAAAAAAUGUUUCUUAAGUAUUGUAAUUAAACAAGUAACCUUUUGUAAUUGAAGAAAAAUAUAUACAAA
This is a long non-coding RNA of Diorhabda sublineata, 962 nucleotides long. RefSeq lists it as uncharacterized. The transcript has 3 exons. The record is from RefSeq and is a predicted model, not a curated record. NCBI's taxonomy places the organism in Eukaryota, Metazoa, Arthropoda, Insecta, Coleoptera, Chrysomelidae.